AGGUGGGGACCCGGCCGGGAUGGCUGCAGCGGCGGCCGGGGCCGGGAGCGGGCCCUGGGCGGCCCAGGAGAAGCAGUUCCCGCCGGCGCUGCUGAGUUUCUUCAUCUACAACCCGCGCUUCGGGCCGCGCGAAGGAGAGGAGGAAAAUAAGAUUUUAUUUUAUCAUCCAAAUGAGGUAGAAAAGAAUGAGAAGAUUAGAAAUGUCGGAUUGUGUGAAGCUAUUGUACAGUUUACAAGGACAUUUAGCCCAUCAAAACCUGCAAAAUCUUUACAUACACAGAAGAACAGACAGUUCUUCAAUGAACCAGAAGAAAAUUUCUGGAUGGUCAUGGUAUUUACAUACACAGUGUAUCUUUCUGAAAUUAUAUGGUGAAGUUAUGGGUGAUCUUUACUGUUCAGAAUUUAGGAAAGUUCUCUGGCUGUUGCAUCCAAGUAAAAUUAAAAUAAAAUUGGUUGCAAUUUUAAAAUCAAGUUCUUCCUAUUUGCUUUAUUCAUUCUUGGGGCUGUUUUAAGAAGCUGUGUUUCUGGUGCUGUAGCAUGUUCAAAGUUUUUAAACUAAGGCAAAAUAAACAUGGUCUAAUGAAUUCAUUGUAUAAUUUCAGUUUAUCAAACUUUGUAGGUUGUUCGGAAUCCUAUAAUUGAAAAACAGUAAAGAUGGAAAACCAGUUCUUGAAUAUCAAGAGGAGGAGUUGUUGGUAAUGUGUCAUUGUUUAUUUAUUUAUUUAAAUGUAUUGCUGA
This 738-nucleotide small RNA is filed under the name Pan troglodytes (chimpanzee). Its description in RNAcentral is "retained intron". The record is from RNAcentral. Lineage: Eukaryota; Metazoa; Chordata; Mammalia; Primates; Hominidae.